RNAcentral lists this transfer RNA (71 nucleotides) under Vulgatibacter incomptus. It matches the Rfam family "tRNA". Rfam says of the family: Transfer RNA (tRNA) molecules are approximately 80 nucleotides in length. The record is from Rfam by way of RNAcentral. RNAcentral also lists the same sequence under 5 other names. Lineage: Bacteria; Pseudomonadati; Myxococcota; Myxococcia; Myxococcales; Vulgatibacteraceae.
UGCGGUGUCGUCCAAGGGUAGGACAAGAGACUUUGAAUCUCUUAAUGAUGGUUCGAAUCCAUCCACCGCAG